RNAcentral lists this ribosomal RNA (520 nucleotides) under uncultured Glomus. RNAcentral's name for it is "SSU rRNA". It matches the Rfam family "Eukaryotic small subunit ribosomal RNA", at positions 569 to 1090 of the family's 1831-position model. Lineage: Eukaryota; Fungi; Glomeromycota; Glomeromycetes; Glomerales; Glomeraceae. The record is from RNAcentral.
AGCAGCCGCGGUAAUUCCAGCUCCAAUAGCGUAUAUUAAAGUUGUUGCAGUUAAAAAGCUCGUAGUUGAAUUUCGGGGUUAGUACGCUGGUCAUGCCUUCGGUAUGUACUGGUGUUACCGAUUCCUACCUUCUGAAGAACCGUCAUGUCAUUAGUUUGGUGUGGCGGGGAAUCAGGACUGUUACUUUGAAAAAAAUUAGAGUGUUUAAAGCAGGCUCGCGCUUGAAUACAUUAGCAUGGAAUAAUGAAAUAGGACGUUCGAUCCUAUUUUGUUGGUUUCUAGGAUUGACGUAAUGAUUAAUAGGGAUAGUUGGGGGCAUUAGUAUUCAAUUGUCAGAGGUGAAAUUCUUGGAUUUAUUGAAGACUAACUACUGCGAAAGCAUUUGCCAAGGAUGUUUUCAUUAAUCAAGAACGAAAGUUAGGGAAUCGAAGACGAUCAGAUACCGUCGUAGUCUUAACCAUAAACUAUGCCGACUAGGGAUCGGAUGAUGUUAUUUUUAAUGUACUCAUUCGGCGCCUUA